ACUACGCAAAAAGCGACAAUCAAGUAGUGCAGACGGUUGAGAUUUGAGAAAUAGAAAUUACCAGUCGAUUAAGCCAAAUACGCCUUGUCAAAACAAAUAAAAUCACAGCUGCUUGUGGGUCCAGAUAAAUAUUUGUACUACCAUCGGCGUGCUCAGUUCACAGAGACUUGUCAGGUAGUGUUUUAAUAUUCAAUUUUUAGUAUAAUUUUUUCCUAAUGUUUCCAAGUAAAGAUUCUCAUGUGCAUGACUAGUGAUACUUAAAAACACUAGGAGAAUUCCAACAUUUUGGUACUGAUUAACCCAUAAAGAUUUGUAAGUGUCACAACAGACUAAUUAGGUUUAAUAAAUUUGUCUCACAAAUUAGUCUCCAACUGUAUGAUUAUUUUUUUAUAAUAGUCUAUGUUUAAUAUUCCAAAUUAUUGUCUAAACAUCUAAUGUGACAAGGAUUAAAAAUUAGUUCCUGACCACUCGCCUGGAUGCAUUUCGACUGUCCUCGAUGAGAGGAAUCCGAUGGGUAGUUGUGGACCGAGAAAUUGUUCAGGACUAGAACCUCUACGUAAGAACAAAAUCAAAUCCUUGACAUCAUACAGAGAAAUAAGUAAAAUAAAAGAAAAAAA
Molecule: long non-coding RNA, 617 nt
Filed under: Sorghum bicolor (sorghum)
Lineage: Eukaryota; Viridiplantae; Streptophyta; Magnoliopsida; Poales; Poaceae
Description: long non-coding RNA (SBIC_LNC002296)
Source: RNAcentral